AGAGAGAGAGAGAGAGAGAGAGAGAGAGAGAGCUGAAAUGUAGUUAUUUUCCUAGUUUAAAGUAGGAGAAAUAAAUUGAAAUGGAACAUGUCAAUGAAUGCUGUAAUUGUCGUAGAGUGGGAGGGAGUAAAUGAGCUGGUUUCAAGGAUUUUCUCUUUCUAAGAAAUAAAUGAAUAGUACUGCCUAAAACAAACAUAUACUCUUUAUUUUUAGUAUUGCAUAAGUAGAUUCAGUAUUCAUAGAAAAUUCGCGGCCUACUUAAUACAAUUUACUUCUUUUACCCGGGUUUAGAACAGGUUAAAAAAAUUAAAAAUCGUCACCCAUUGUCAUACCAAACUAUAAUUUCCGCCCAUAACUAGUAUUGCCUUUAAGUAAAACUUACCUCAAAGGAAAUUUUAAAAAUUCACACCCAUCAUAUAGUAACCUAUAAUUUCCACCCAUAAUACUACACCUUGAAUAAGAAACACAUGUAAGGGACAUUUUAUUCAUUCUGCAGAAGAAGGAAUCCAUCCAGAGGAAGAGUGGGCAAAGGGGUAGUAUAGUCAUUCAUUUAUUUGGUACUCGGCGAAUCGUAUACUAAAAAGCAGCGGGUCAGAGAGAACACUUUCUAGGGAGAGAAAGCAAGGAAGAGAUAAAAAUUUUCUAGAGAGAGAAAGCAAGGAGAAUAAGAAGGGGCAACCAGAGUAAGAAGACCUUGAGCAGAGCGAGAAACCCCCACUAAAAUUAGGGGCACCGAGGAGACGGAGCCGUGAUUGAGA
RNAcentral lists this long non-coding RNA (758 nucleotides) under Amborella trichopoda. RNAcentral describes it as "long non-coding RNA (ATRI_LNC004767)". Lineage: Eukaryota; Viridiplantae; Streptophyta; Magnoliopsida; Amborellales; Amborellaceae. The record is from RNAcentral.